Daucus carota subsp. sativus is the source of this 352-nucleotide long non-coding RNA. RefSeq lists it as uncharacterized. The record is from RefSeq and is a predicted model, not a curated record. The transcript has 3 exons. NCBI's taxonomy places the organism in Eukaryota, Viridiplantae, Streptophyta, Magnoliopsida, Apiales, Apiaceae.
CAAGCCUACAUUUAAUCUGCAUCUUGUAAACCCCGACUGUAUUAUACUCGGCUGCUCUCUUGGUAGAGAGAACUCAGAAAAAAUCAACUAAACGAACACAAUGAAAAGGGGGAUUCAUCUCGGAAAAGCUGUAAGCACAGUUGAUCGAGAAAAAUUGAACGAUGAUCAAGGCGAUCAGUACUUUAGACUUUUGUGGGCAACACUGGACAAGAAGAAGAGGAAAACUUGUUUAUAUGUAGAUCCUCUGGCAACAAAAUACUAUUAUCACAAUAAAAAGGGGAGAGAAAAGAUUUUUAGUCGACUGAUGAAGGACAACUUAUUUGAGAUGAAAUAUGUUUUUUUCCCAAUUUGU